UAAUUUCUUCCAAGGGCUUGUAAGUGUAACACCAAAGACAAAUCCCAAAAUAAAAUAGAUUUAUAAGUUGAAUUCCACUAACAAGAUAAUAAUAGUACUCCAAUUUACCUCUAUUGAGGUUCCUAUCAGGUAACCAAUUCCUUUCUUUACCACUAUAUUUAUGCACAAGUGACACAAUAAAUGUACCAACAUAGCUACCAAUAGCUAUAACUAUGCAAUAUAUAGCUGUAGCAGUACUUCUCAUGCUUUCAGGUGCUUGAUCAAACAAAAAUUCAAAAAGUCCAACAGACAUGAAAACAUCAGCAAGUCCAUGAAAGAAAUAUUGAGGUACUAACCAAAACACACUUAUAGGAAUAAUUGCUUUUGGAUCAUCCAAUAAGUUGUACUUAGAAGCAACUUCUUUUCUUUUGAUUUCUAUAAAGGCUGAAAUUAAUGUGGCUACAAUGUUGAUUAUGAAUCCUAUUCCCAUUCUUUGUAUGCAUGUGAUUCCAGAAGGAUUGUUUGUGAAUCUACGAGUGAACGGGACGAAAAGGCGUUCGUAUAGAAUAACUCCUAUCAUUGUAGUUAUGACACUGAAAAUUGACAUGUUGGCUGGUGAAAUUUGGAAUGAGUGAGAGAGGUGA
RNAcentral lists this long non-coding RNA (623 nucleotides) under Cicer arietinum (chickpea). RNAcentral's name for it is "long non-coding RNA (CARI_LNC000796)". Lineage: Eukaryota; Viridiplantae; Streptophyta; Magnoliopsida; Fabales; Fabaceae. The record is from RNAcentral.